RNAcentral lists this ribosomal RNA (253 nucleotides) under uncultured bacterium. RNAcentral's name for it is "partial 16S ribosomal RNA". It matches the Rfam family "Bacterial small subunit ribosomal RNA", at positions 524 to 776 of the family's 1533-position model. The record is from RNAcentral.
UACGGGGGGGGCAAGCGUUAUCCGGAAUUAUUGGGCGUAAAGAGCUCGUAGGCGGUUUGUCGCGUCUGCCGUGAAAGUCCGGGGCUCAACUCCGGAUCUGCGGUGGGUACGGGCAGACUAGAGUGAUGUAGGGGAGACUGGAAUUCCUGGUGUAGCGGUGAAAUGCGCAGAUAUCAGGAAGAACACCAAUGGCGAAAGCAGCUCUCUGGGACGGUACUGACGCUGAGACGCGAAAGCGUGGGGAGCGAACAGG